Molecule: long non-coding RNA, 817 nt
Filed under: Phaseolus vulgaris (common bean)
Lineage: Eukaryota; Viridiplantae; Streptophyta; Magnoliopsida; Fabales; Fabaceae
Description: long non-coding RNA (PVUL_LNC002786)
Source: RNAcentral
AUGUAUGAAUGAAAAUUUUAUAUAAUUAAAAAGUAAGAAUGUUCAAUGGAAGAAGAAUAAGGAGCAAGAGCCUCCAACUGUUACUAAUGAAAACAUAAUCACAAAUCUCACAUAAACAAUAACAAAAGAUGGAAGAUUACACCAAGUUAUUUUCACUGAACCAACCGUGUAUCACCACCAAUUCAAUGAAAAAUAACAAAACGAAACAAUUAUAAACUAUAGCUAUGACAAUCUCAAAAGCAGAGAGAAUACUUUUUCUAUAUAAGCCUACGCGGCGUUUCAAAUGACCAAUACGGCAGUGACGAGACCAACCACAACAGAUCCUGCGGCGGCGAAUCCAUACGAGACAGCGGCGUUCGCAGACGGCGCGGGAGCCUCGGACGGAGGAGCAGAGAUUGACAAUGGAGAAGCGGAAGGCGAGGGAGAGGACGCAGACGAUGGAGGAGGAGACGGCGGAGAGGUCACAGCGGGUGCUGGUGACGGAGAAACUUUGUGUGGAGGCUUGUACGGAAAAACGGCAGGUGGAGUAGCAGCGGCCUUAGGAGACGACGCCGGAGAUUGUGCGACGGCAGAGAAGACUAACAUAGCAGCGAGCAGGAGAAUGAGAGUGAAGGACGAAGCCAUCUGAGAGGCUGAGAAGUAAACGGUGGAGAAUAAACGAAGGUGGUGCAACGCAGGGGAUAAUUGUUGUAGUUUUACGAAGAGUGUGUUUGAGAUGAACGAAGAGACAGAGAGUGAGAAUUUAUAGAAAAAGAGGUUGGUGUGAUGGGAGGAUCAGACGGUGGAGAUUGCUCCGAUAAGUUGAUAUGAUGGCAUG